GAUGAACGCUAGCGACAGGCUUAACACAUGCAAGUCGAGGGGCAGCAUAAAAGUAGCAAUACUUUGGUGGCGACCGGCGCACGGGUGAGUAACGCGUAUGCAACCUACCUAUCAGAGGGGGAUAACCCGGCGAAAGUCGGACUAAUACCGCAUAAAACAGGGGCACCGCAUGGUGAUAUUUGUUAAAAAUUUAUUGCUGAUAGAUGGGCAUGCGUUCCAUUAGGUAGUUGGAGAGGUAACGGCUCACCAAGCCCACGAUGGAUAGGGGAACUGAGAGGUUGGUCCCCACACUGGUACUGAGACACGGACCAGACUCCUACGGGAGCAGCAGUGAGGAAUAUUGGUCAAUGGGCAGAGCCUGAACCAGCCAAGUCGCGUGAAGGAAGAAGGAUCUAUGGUUCGUAAACUUCUUUUGCAGGGGAAUAAAGUGCAGGACGUGUCCUGUUUUGUAUGUACCCUGAGAAUAAGGAUCGGUCUAACUCCGUGCCAGCAGCCGAC
RNAcentral lists this ribosomal RNA (498 nucleotides) under uncultured bacterium. Its description in RNAcentral is "bacterial SSU rRNA". It matches the Rfam family "Bacterial small subunit ribosomal RNA", at positions 28 to 518 of the family's 1533-position model. The record is from RNAcentral.